UUUCAUUCCACCCUGGGGAAAAGAGUCCCACCUAAACGUUACUUUAUGCUGGAAGAUACAAAACCAGCGAUUUUCGGAUCAUAUAACUAUGAUCCUGUCAAACAAAUUUUUGGGCCAUUUGAAAACAAAGAUAAUAUUAUUGAAUCGGAUCACAAUCUUACCACAAUAGCUUUUUUAACGACCUCUGCUAGUGAAAAAACAAAAACAAGCGUAGAUGAAACGUAUUUAUUAAGGAAAAAUGAAAGAAAAAAUCGAAAAACAUAUCCCACAAUUAAAGUGAAAAUCACGAAUUGGUUGCAAAGCUCUAAGCCAACCCUAAUGACUUUGACCACUAAGAAAAGACAACUAAUGCUGUAAAGGAAUUGUUUAAUCUGUCGAAAAUGUAAUAUAAUACAAUCUUAUUUUAAAUUUAACUGAUAACUAUUAUAAUAAUUAUUAUAUUUA
This is a long non-coding RNA of Bombyx mori (domestic silkworm), 444 nucleotides long. RefSeq lists it as uncharacterized. The transcript is spliced from 2 exons. The record is from RefSeq and is a predicted model, not a curated record. NCBI's taxonomy places the organism in Eukaryota, Metazoa, Arthropoda, Insecta, Lepidoptera, Bombycidae.